This 508-nucleotide ribosomal RNA is filed under the name uncultured bacterium. RNAcentral's name for it is "partial 16S ribosomal RNA". It matches the Rfam family "Bacterial small subunit ribosomal RNA", at positions 28 to 507 of the family's 1533-position model. The record is from RNAcentral.
GACGAACGCUGGCGGCGUGCCUAAUACAUGCAAGUCGAACGCUUCUUUCCUCCCGAGUGCUUGCACUCAAUUGGAAAGAGGAGUGGCGGACGGGUGAGUAACACGUGGGUAACCUACCCAUCAGAGGGGGAUAACACUUGGAAACAGGUGCUAAUACCGCAUAACAGUUUAUGCCGCAUGGCAUAAGAGUGAAAGGCGCUUUCGGGUGUCGUUGAUGGAUGGACCCGCGGUGCAUUAGCUAGUUGGUGAGGUAACGGCUCACCAAGGCCACGAUGCAUAGCCGAACUGAGAGGGUGAUCGGCCACACUGGGACUGAGACACGGCCCAGACUCCUACGGGAGGCAGCAGUAGGGAAUCUUCGGCAAUGGACGAAAGUCUGACCGAGCAACGCCGCGUGAGUGAAGAAGGUUUUCGGAUCGUAAAACUCUGUUGUUAGAGAAGAACAAGGACGUUAGUAACUGAACGUCCCCUGACGGUAUCUAACCAGAAAGCCACGGCUAACUACGUG